RNAcentral lists this ribosomal RNA (501 nucleotides) under uncultured bacterium. RNAcentral describes it as "bacterial SSU rRNA". It matches the Rfam family "Bacterial small subunit ribosomal RNA", at positions 9 to 523 of the family's 1533-position model. The record is from RNAcentral.
GAGUUUGAUCAUGGCUCAGGACGAACGCUGGCGGCGUGCCUAACACAUGCAAGUCGAGCGGAGUUUAAAGUUUUCGGACGAUAAACUUAGCGGCGGACGGGUGAGUAACACGUGGGUAACCUGCCUUAUAGUGGGGGAUAGCCUUUCGAAAGGAAGAUUAAUACCGCAUAAUAUAUACAUUAGGCAUCUAGAGUAUAUCAAAGGAGCAAUCCGCUAUAAGAUGGGCCCGCGGCGCAUUAGCUAGUUGGAGGGGUAACGGCCCACCAAGGCAACGAUGCGUAGCCGACCUGAGAGGGUGAUCGGCCACAUUGGAACUGAGAUACGGUCCAGACUCCUACGGGAGGCAGCAGUGGGGAAUAUUGCACAAUGGAGGAAACUCUGAUGCAGCAACGCCGCGUGAGUGAUGAAGGUCUUCGGAUCGUAAAGCUCUUUGAUUGGGGACGAUAAUGACGGUACCCAAAGAACAAGCCACGGCUAACUACGUGCCAGCAGCCGCGGUAC